CGCCAUUGGAUCGGCGACGGGAAACCCGCCCUCGCUAGCACCCAGGAGCCGGAAAAUGCUGACGAUUAGAUCCCUUCCCACGGGAGCCGCUGGAGAAGAAAGGUUGAAUCAGACCUCUUCGCGAACGAAUAAUUGCAAAGGAGGGCUGGCUUCAUUAGGGUAAAUAACUGCCAAUAAUAGGGGUGAUUCGGUACACCUGUAGCGGAACUUUUGUAGAUAUCAAAGAGCCUCGUUAGUUCUACUGUCAAAUUUCCAUGUCAUCCAUGUGUCCCUCGAUUGAGUGCUGAAGCAGUCGUAUGGACCAACGCUGAAUGGAGCCGGUGGACAACGUCUUAUCCGUUUCUUUUAAGAACUACCCACGUGAGAUGUAAUUUAGACAAGGAAACCUGACCACUUGGGUUAUUUUUCUAGUGUUCUAUUUGUUAACCAUCUUAGAAAAUUUUGCUUGGCUGCGCAUUCCAAGAUCCGAUCAAAUGGCUGUCAAUGGCGGGACCCAUCCGUCCGACAAUAUGAUGCAUGUUAUGGACCUGGGCGACCUAAAGCCACUCCGACGUGCUUUGAUUCGGCUCGAAGUUCCCGACAAUGUUGGUUCUCACGUCGGUUCCAAAUUAAAGCUCUGCUGUGACGUCAGUAGCCUCGUGUCAGUGGUCCUGCUGCCAAGGCUUAGGUUCCGUGGGGUCGACAGAUCCUUGUUUUUGUUCGAGCUGAUGUGACUGCAUGGGGAUGAGCCCAUGAGAGGGGACCACGCUCUGUUGAUUGCAUGCAAUGCUACAACAAGUUUAAAUCACUGCUCAAGGGAUCAUGUAGGCGUGAUAGCCUCUUCUCGGUUGUACGUGUAGCUGGAACUAGCCGUAUGUACGAUCGCCUCAUCACCGGUGGGUCAAUCCGCGUUUGAUUGUGUGGUGAACGAAGCCAACAGGACAGACUGAUGCAGGAUUCAAUAUCGGUAUCGCGGCGAUGGGGUGUUGGAGGAUGGUACAAAUCUGUUAGGCCCUGGAGCAAAGUUUCCGUCUAGAAUAUUAUUAUGCGUGGGUAUAUUAGCUUAGGUUACGUAAAUAGACAAUUUUUAAUUUUUCUCGUCUCCCACUUUCUUUCUUUUCCAAGUUGCUAUUAGAUAUUUCUUGCUUUUGAUCAGGGGUUACUCGGUGGUGUCUAGGUUAAUAGCAGUAUUAUUUAGUGCCACGCCAAAAGAAAGAAGCGUUAUCAAAUGAUAGCAACAUUCUUGGGGAGGGUCUCGAGCAUAGUUAUAUAGAUUGGAUCGUAUCACAUGAUGAGAUAUGAGAAAUUGAGAAUUGGAUCAUUCAUAAAUGUAGCUCAUUUAUGAUAUUCGUCUCCUUAGAUCGAAUGAUCCGAUCGAUUUUUGGAUAGCUAGUUUGAACCAAGUUCCUCUGGAUUUGUAAUAUAUUUAAAAUUAAUUAACUAUCCUUCAAUUAAAAUUUAGACUAUUUAAUUUUAGGGGCAUUACAAUAAAUUUAAAAUUAGGAUUAAGGGUUAAGAAAUUAUUCGGUCUGUUUUGACCACUCUUCUUUCCCUAUCUUCGUUUAGUGUUCUUUUUCAAAUCGUCCAACUCUCUCUAUCUUUUUCUUUCACAUAUUUCUCACUAUUUCCUCUCGCUUAUCUUUCUUAUUUCACAUAUUUCUCACUAUUUCCUCUCGCUUAUCUUUCUUAUGUAAUCACUUCCAUUGGUCCCCGUUUUCAUUAUUAUUCCUCCUUGUUAUAUUUGGUUACAAUGCAUGAUGCAUGUCAUGAUCCGAUCUGAUAGGAUAACAAACAUGUUAACUUCAUUAAAUUUGAAUCAUUGGCUUAAAAUGCUUAAUCUCAAGUUAACUUUUGAUGUAGGAUUAAAUUAAGAUAUCAUAAUUUUCCUAAUUUAAGGGUUUGACAUUCUCAUCAAAGCCCAAUAUAACCCAUAAUCAUA
This is a long non-coding RNA of Musa acuminata AAA Group (dessert banana), 1918 nucleotides long. RefSeq lists it as uncharacterized. The transcript is spliced from 4 exons. NCBI's taxonomy places the organism in Eukaryota, Viridiplantae, Streptophyta, Magnoliopsida, Zingiberales, Musaceae. The record is from RefSeq and is a predicted model, not a curated record.